ACCAUGGGUAGACGCUUAAACAAAACCCGAUUUAAAAUCCUUCGCUGGUAACAGCGUGCCGGUUCAAGUCCGGCCCCGGGUACCA
Molecule: transfer RNA, 85 nt
Filed under: Thalassotalea sp. LPB0316
Lineage: Bacteria; Pseudomonadati; Pseudomonadota; Gammaproteobacteria; Alteromonadales; Colwelliaceae
Description: tRNA-Leu
Source: RNAcentral